This 69-nucleotide transfer RNA is filed under the name Nansenia ardesiaca. RNAcentral's name for it is "tRNA-His". It matches the Rfam family "tRNA". From Rfam's summary of the family: Transfer RNA (tRNA) molecules are approximately 80 nucleotides in length. Their secondary structure includes four short double-helical elements and three loops (D, anti-codon, and T loops). Further hydrogen bonds mediate the characteristic L-shaped molecular structure. tRNAs have two regions of fundamental functional importance: the anti-codon, which is responsible for specific mRNA codon recognition, and the 3' end, to which the tRNAs corresponding amino acid is attached (by aminoacyl-tRNA synthetases). tRNAs cope with the degeneracy of the genetic code in two manners: having more than one tRNA (with a specific anti-codon) for a particular amino acid; and 'wobble' base-pairing, i.e. permitting non-standard base-pairing at the 3rd anti-codon position. Lineage: Eukaryota; Metazoa; Chordata; Actinopteri; Argentiniformes; Microstomatidae. The record is from RNAcentral.
GUAGGUAUAGUUUGAUCAAAACGUUACAUUGUGAUUCUAGAAACAGAGGUUAAACCCCUUUUACCCACC